AUUGAACGCUGGCGGCAGGCCUAACACAUGCAAGUCGGACGGUAGCACAGAGAGCUUGCUCUUGGGUGACGAGUGGCGGACGGGUGAGUAAUGUCUGGGGAUCUGCCCGAUAGAGGGGGAUAACCACUGGAAACGGUGGCUAAUACCGCAUAACGUCGCAAGACCAAAGAGGGGGACCUUCGGGCCUCUCACUAUCGGAUGAACCCAGAUGGGAUUAGCUAGUAGGCGGGGUAAUGGCCCACCUAGGCGACGAUCCCUAGCUGGUCUGAGAGGAUAGCCGGGCACACGGGAACUGGGACACGGUCCAGACUCCUACGGGAGACAGCAGUGGGGAAUAUUGCACAAUGGGCGCAAGCCUGAUGCUGCCAUGCCGCGUGUAUGAAGAAGGCCUUCGGGUUGUAAAGUACUUUCAGCGGGGAGGAAGGCGGUGCGGUUAAUAACCGCGCCGAUUGACGUUACCCGCAGAAGAAGCACCGGCUAACUCCGUGCCAGCAGCCGCAGUAA
This 504-nucleotide ribosomal RNA is filed under the name uncultured bacterium. Its description in RNAcentral is "partial 16S ribosomal RNA". It matches the Rfam family "Bacterial small subunit ribosomal RNA", at positions 29 to 523 of the family's 1533-position model. The record is from RNAcentral.